RNAcentral lists this ribosomal RNA (253 nucleotides) under uncultured bacterium. Its description in RNAcentral is "partial 16S ribosomal RNA". It matches the Rfam family "Bacterial small subunit ribosomal RNA", at positions 524 to 776 of the family's 1533-position model. The record is from RNAcentral.
GACAGAGGGGGCAAGCGUUGCUCGGAAUUACUGGGCGUAAAGGGCGCGUAGGCGGAAUGGCAAGUCGGUCGUGAAAUCCUUCGGCUCAACCGAAGAACGUCGAUCGAAACUGCCGUUCUUGAGGAUUGCAGAGGAGACUGGAAUUCCCGGUGUAGCGGUGAAAUGUGUAGAGAUCGGGAGGAACACCGGUGGCGAAGGCGGGUCUCUGGGCAAUUCCUGACGCUGAGGCACGAAAGCCAGGGGAGCAAACGGG